CGCGUAGGUGGUUUGGUAAGCGAGAUGUGAAAGCCCCGGGCUUAACCUGGGAACAGCAUUUCGAACUGUCAGACUAGAGUGUGGUAGAGGGUAGUGGAAUUUCCUGUGUAGCGGUGAAAUGCGUAGAUAUAGGAAGGAACACCAGUGGCGAAGGCGGCUACCUGGACCAACACUGACACUGAGGUGCGAAAGCGUGGGGAGCAAACA
Molecule: ribosomal RNA, 207 nt
Filed under: uncultured bacterium
Lineage: Bacteria
Description: partial 16S ribosomal RNA
Rfam family: Bacterial small subunit ribosomal RNA
Source: RNAcentral